GGUGGCUGUGUGAACUUGGACUGGAUGGAAAGCAGAAACCAUGUUCCCACCGGUUUCUGGAUUUAUGCUUAAGCAUUGGCCUUCACUUCCCCUCGAGCCUGACUCCAUCUGAUUCCAGAGGAUGUCUGACCAUCAGUUCCCUAAUGAGCUUGCUACACUCUCUGCUGCAGACCGCCGCCAUCUUGUUACUGCUUGUGCUGCAGGUCUGCCCGCCUCAGCUGCACUCAAACACCAAAUCGUCAAACCCAGCCUCAAGUGUUCGCCAGCGUCUCUCUCUCUCCUGCCACGGUUGUUUUGUUCUAUGUAAUCCCACCUUUUCAUAACUUCAUCAAAACACUUU
Long non-coding RNA from Anoplopoma fimbria (sablefish), 340 nucleotides. RefSeq lists it as uncharacterized. The transcript has 3 exons. The record is from RefSeq and is a predicted model, not a curated record. Lineage: Eukaryota; Metazoa; Chordata; Actinopteri; Perciformes; Anoplopomatidae.